Molecule: ribosomal RNA, 450 nt
Filed under: uncultured Planctomycetaceae bacterium
Lineage: Bacteria; Pseudomonadati; Planctomycetota; Planctomycetia; Planctomycetales; Planctomycetaceae
Description: bacterial SSU rRNA
Rfam family: Bacterial small subunit ribosomal RNA
Source: RNAcentral
AAUGAACGUUGGCGGCGUGGAUUAGGCAUGCAAGUCGAGCGAGAAGGGUUUGGUGCUUGCAUUGAACCUGGAAAGCGGCGAAAGGGAGAGUAACGCGUAGAUAUGUACCCUGGGGUCUGGGAUAGCGUCGGGAAACUGGCGGUAAUACCGGAUAACGUCUCCGGACCAAAGAUUUAUUGCCCUGGGAGCAGUCUGCGUCCUACUAGCUUGUUGGUGGGGUAAAAGCCUACCAAGGCCAUGAUGGGUAGCGGGCGUGAGAGCGUGACCCGUCUCACUGGGACUGAGACACUGCCCAGACACCUACGGGUGGCUGCAGUCGAGAAUCUUCCGCAAUGGACGAAAGUCUGACGGAGCGACGCCGCGUGCGGGAUGAAGGCCCUCGGGUUGUAAACCGCUGUCAGAGGGGAGGAAAUUUUGACCGAUCCUCAGAGGAAGUCCGGGCUAAGUUCG